GGUGAAUUAUGAUCAUGCCGGCAUCGGCAUGGCCUCAGAUCUCUCCUCAUCAUCGAUCGUCUUAUGAACUGCCCCUGUCAUACAUGGCAGCGAAGGAGCUCUGCUGAUGCAUGUAGCCGUACAUUGCUGUUGCUUCUGUGGCGUCUGCCUCCGGCUCUGGCCCGCAGUCGAGGUUGACACCGAACAGCCUGAGCCGCCUCGACGGUGCUGAUCCUGCACUGAAGCUUGGGCUCCUGCUUUCCGUGUCGCGUGGAGACUCUUCUACAGUUGAUCAUCAGAAAAUGGUAUGAGCAGGAAGGCUCGAGGAAAAUGUGAUUGUAAUCUCACGUGGCCUUAUCAUUGCCUACUCUUGCUUUCUGCUAUGAGGCUUCAAGUUCCCAAACUCCAGGAUCAAGAAUGAACCAAUACAGACAUCCCCUUCACCGAUAUGUUCUCCAUACUAAACAGGUCACCAAUGCAGAUAUCCAACUAAUCACUGAAUCAGGUUUGGUUUUUCCAUGCACAUGAAUGGAUUGGCAUCUCAAUGGAAUUGAAUACAAGAUAAUUCAAGAUGAGGGGCCACAUGCUAAUGCUUCUCAAUUUUUUAUUGUUGUGGUCUCGGUUCCUUUCCACAAGACCAUGCAUGGUGCAUGCAUGUUUUGCCAAACUCAUGUGGAUAAUUUAGUAAACUCUUGUGCUGCAUGUUACUCUUUGUCAUUCUUAGGUGCAUGACACCAUCGGAAGUAUUUAAAAAAAAAGGCAGAACCUCAAAUUAAAAUGUUUCCAUUGUACUAACAUUUAGGGUUCCUGCUCUAGAACGCUUGAAUUUCUAGAAAAUUCCUCCAUUCAGAGACUUUGACAUAUACAAAAGUAUCUAAUCAUGCUGAACUAAUGUUAGCGUAACAUUCUAUCCUAUUUCAUAAUUUCCAUAUAGUUCGUCCAUUGAAAAAAUUGCCAUGAUUUUUGUUUGUGUUUUGCAAAACGUGAUGCUGGAAUCUUGCAUAAUGGUGUGAAAUCUGUUUGUAAUAUUCCUAGGGGUUAAACUGUUUGGAUGUUGGGGGACCAUGUUCUUGCUGGUAUACUAGUUAGCAUCAUUUUGCAGCUGCUGUUGUUUAUGCGCUGCCUAAGUUUCUGUACCUGCGCAGCUAAAAUUUUGCGAUCUUUUUGGCAGAUCUCUGCGCGUGUGCGUGAGAAUGCGUAUUCCAGAUGAUCUAAACUGGAGCUUUUCUCGCGCACUGGUGAAGACUGACGUGAUUGAGAUCGGAGGUGACGAGGAGAUGAUGGGGGAGAGAAACAGAGGUGGCCGACGAAGCUCGAGCGGCGAAGGUGGGUGCCGUCGGCGCCGCUCACCACUCAGGGUAGCAAAAGGGGAUGGAGCUAGGGGGACCGCACACAGGUACGACUUCGUUCAACGUGUUGCUUGAGCAGUGCCUAUGACGAGGAAUGUGUGCCUUCUGCGGGGCGUGGGCGACUUUGCAGGGACAUGGUUCUGUCUGAGGUGGCGAGCUGGUGCUGACAUGGAGGGCUAGAGCCACUUGCCAUCUCACCGCAAAGUGAAUGGCCUUGCAUUUUUAUUUUUCCAUCUGAUGGCACCCUUGUGACUGUAACGGCUUGGAGUAGAUGAGAACCAGUCUUGAAGAAAUUUGAGGUGAAGCUGUGGAAUGAAAGAAAGUAGGAGCUGCAGUGUAGAGCUUGUUGAUAUGACGUUAAUUGGGCGCGGCCGGGCACUACAUGCUUGAAGGGGAUGGCGAGGCCGGCAGCGGCGAUGGCACGACGCCGGGGAUGGCGAGGCGACUGUGGCAGGGAUGGCGCAGUGAUGGGCGUAGGCGCGCGACAGCAGUCGAACGCGGGCGCUCCCGUCCUAGCGACGAGGGGCGGUGCAGAUCUGCAAGCAAGCAAUUUUAUUGGGAGGAGGAGGAGGACGGCGAGGCGACGGUGGCAGCAGUGAUGGCGAGGCCGACGGCGAGGUGAAGGCACGGUGAGGCGAUGACGGCAGGGGGAUGGCGCGGCCGGCAGCUGCAGGGGUGACGGCGAGGCGACAGCGGGCGACAGCGAGGCACCGGUGGCGAGGGAGAUGGCGCAGCAACGGCGGGGACGGGUGGGCGACGGCGGCGGUGGGGAGAGCAGCGGAAGCGUCGGCGCUAGUUUCGGCGCGUCGUUUCUACGCGUGAUUUAGGCUGGAUAGGUGAGGGCUGAGGGGAAACAGACGAGGGUAAAAAUAGAAAGAAAAUGUGGACCGUUUGAUCUAAAGCAGAUGAUAUCAGCCGUUGGAUCUGUCUAAUGAGUAAAUGAGUAAAACCUCUUGGUGCACUAUAGGGUAGAUAUGGUAAUUCUGAUGACCGCGACAAAUUCGGCCUUCAAAAAUAUAAAUUUAAAAUCAACGAUAAGGAUUGAUUUGUCACGCUUAUUGCACGGUUAACCCUUGUUUGAAGUGGAAAAUGGCGUUUGUUGAA
Molecule: long non-coding RNA, 2432 nt
Organism: Oryza brachyantha (malo sina)
Lineage: Eukaryota; Viridiplantae; Streptophyta; Magnoliopsida; Poales; Poaceae
Exons: 7
Source: RefSeq, a predicted model, not a curated record